AUCCUCGUGUAGGACGCCCAACAUCUGGACGCACACAGCAUGACUACUAGUGCUGAGCAGCCACCCACAGAGGGCAUAUGCACAAAGACAUUAAAUGUAAAAGAAAUGGCCUGUGCUGAGCAACAGAGAAAGCUGUAUCAGAGAUAAAACCAAACAGAUGAAUUACCUCACAGGAUUGCUGGUCAAAGACACUCGGAGAGACUCCAGGCAUGUGACAAGUCUCUCAUCUGCAGACCCCAUUUUCAGCUCAUGAAUGAAUUCCUGAGAUUCACCAUCCAACGGCAGGAAAUGAAUUGUGUAAGUUCAAAAGAAGAUCAGGUGAAGUGGUACGAAAUUCGGUGUUUUUCAUGUUUUUUGUUUUUAUUAAUUUACUAUAAUGUUAUUCAAAACAACAUUCCCAAUAAAGCAAAACAAAUUAGCACUGUAAAAAAAAAAAAAAA
Molecule: long non-coding RNA, 440 nt
Filed under: Homo sapiens (human)
Lineage: Eukaryota; Metazoa; Chordata; Mammalia; Primates; Hominidae
Description: DIAPH3 antisense RNA 1, transcript variant 3 (DIAPH3-AS1)
Source: RNAcentral